RNAcentral lists this ribosomal RNA (905 nucleotides) under Verticillium dahliae. RNAcentral describes it as "LSU rRNA". It matches the Rfam family "Eukaryotic large subunit ribosomal RNA", at positions 36 to 966 of the family's 3401-position model. The record is from RNAcentral. Lineage: Eukaryota; Fungi; Ascomycota; Sordariomycetes; Glomerellales; Plectosphaerellaceae.
AAGCAUAUCAAUAAGCGGAGGAAAAGGAACCAACAGGGAUUGCCUUAGUAACGGCGAGUGAAGCGGCAACAGCUCAAAUUUGAAAUCUGGCUCCUUCGGGGUCCGAGUUGUAAUUUGCAGAGGAUGCUUCGAGUUAUGGUUCCUUCCGAGUUCCCUGGAACGGGACGCCAUAGAGGGUGAGAGCCCCGUCUGGUAGGAAACCAUGCUCAUGUGAAGCUCCCUCGACGAGUCGAGUAGUUUGGGAAUGCUGCUCUAAGGGGAGGUAUACUCCUUCCAAGGCUAAAUACCGGCUAGAGACCGAUAGCGCACAAGUAGAGUGAUCGAAAGAUGAAAAGUACUUUGAAAAGAGAGUCAAACAGCACGUGAAAUUGUUAAAAGGGAAGCGCUCGCUACCAGACGUGGGUUCGGUGGUUCAACCAGGUCCAUGACCUGGGGCACUCCGCCGGCCCAGGCCAGCAUCAGCUUUCCGUCGGGGGCAAAGGCGUCGGGAAUGUGGCUCUCCUUCGGGGGAGUGUUAUAGCCCGUCGCGUCAUACCCUUCGGGGGGCUGAGGUACGCGCUCCGCAAGGAUGCUGGCGUAAUGGUAGCUAGUGACCCGUCUUGAAACACGGACCAAGGAGUCAACCUUAUGUGCGAGUGCCCGGGCGUAAAACCCCAGCGCGGAAUGAAAGUGAACGUAGGUGAGAGCUUCGGCGCAUCACCGACCGAUCCUGAUGUCCUCGGACGGAUUUGAGUGAGAGCAUAUAGGGUUGGACCCGAAAGAAGAUGAACUAUGCGUGUGUAGGGUGAAGCCAGAGGAAACUCUGGUGGAGGCUCGCAGCGGUUCUGACGUGCAAAUCGAUCGUCAAACAUGCGCAUGGGGGCGAAAGACUAAUCGAAUCUUCUGGUAGCUGGUUUCCGCCGAAG